This is a small nuclear RNA of Ictidomys tridecemlineatus (thirteen-lined ground squirrel), 116 nucleotides long. Its record names the gene U5. It matches the Rfam family "U5 spliceosomal RNA". Rfam says of the family: U5 RNA is a component of both types of known spliceosome. The precise function of this molecule is unknown, though it is known that the 5' loop is required for splice site selection and p220 binding, and that both the 3' stem-loop and the Sm site are important for Sm protein binding and cap methylation. The record is from Ensembl. Lineage: Eukaryota; Metazoa; Chordata; Mammalia; Rodentia; Sciuridae.
AUACUUUGGUUUCCCCUCAGAUUAUAUAAACCUUUUGCCUUUUAUUAAUUGUUUUGUGGAGAAGAACAAUUCUGAGUCUUAACCCAAUUUUUUGAGGUCAGGCUUAAUAACAGUUC